This 133-nucleotide small RNA is filed under the name Xenorhabdus szentirmaii DSM 16338. RNAcentral describes it as "t44 RNA". It matches the Rfam family "t44 RNA". From Rfam's summary of the family: This family consists of a number of bacterial RNA genes of between 135 and 170 bases in length. The t44 gene is found between the map and rpsB genes in all species in the full alignment apart from Shigella flexneri. The record is from Rfam by way of RNAcentral. Lineage: Bacteria; Pseudomonadati; Pseudomonadota; Gammaproteobacteria; Enterobacterales; Morganellaceae.
CUCAUUAUGUGUAAAUAACACACACAGGUCGGCACAUACACCGGGGUGCUCUCAUGCGGCUGAUUCAUAGGUCAAUUGAUGUGAAUAAUCCGCAGCUAAAGAGUCGGUGUCAUGGGAUCUGUGGAGGCAUAAC